GAUGAACGCUGGCGGCGUGCCUAAUACAUGCAAGUCGAGCGAACAGACGCGGCGCUUGCUCUUCUGACGUUAGCGGCGGACGGGUGAGUAACACGUGGAUAACCUUCCUAUAAGACUGGGACAACUGCGGGAAACCGGAGUUAAUACCGGGUAAUAUAUUGAACCGCAUGGUUGAAUAGUGAAAGACGGUUUUGCUGUCACUUAUACAUGGAUCCGCGCCGCUUUAGCUAGUUGGUAAGGUAACGGCUUCCCAAGGCAGCGAUGCGUAGCCGACCUGAGAGGGUGAACGGCCACACUGGAACUGAGACACGGCCCAGAGACCUACGGGAGGCACCAGUAGGGAAGCGUCCGAACUGGGCGAAAGCCUGAAGGAGCAACGCCGCGUGGAUGAUGAGGGUCUUCGGAUCGGAAAACGCUGUUAGUAGGGAAGAACAAAUGUGUAAGUAACUAUGCACGUCUUGACGGUACCUAGUCAGAAAGCCACGGCUAACUACGUG
This 497-nucleotide ribosomal RNA is filed under the name uncultured bacterium. RNAcentral's name for it is "partial 16S ribosomal RNA". It matches the Rfam family "Bacterial small subunit ribosomal RNA", at positions 28 to 507 of the family's 1533-position model. The record is from RNAcentral.